UACGCUUCCGCAUAUGCUGUGGGAGUGCUCAGCACAGUACACACAGACUGACACCACGACUCUCUCGUUGAGGUUGCAUGAGGCUCUGCGGAGCUCCGCCCUCGGCGACCAAACCUGGGCGACCCAGCACGCCCGCGAGGCGGCGGUGAGGCAAGUCCUCGGCUUCCCUUCAUGGGAGGCUAGGCCCGGCCAUCAUAAAGUGCUGGUUGUACAAUAAAUGUUUAUUCCACCUCCUCCUCUUUGGCUCAUAUCUCUCUCGAUAACACGUCAGAGUCAAUCAAAGCGCUGUCGAAAUAUUAUUAAGGCGAAAGCCUUAAGGGGGUCGUUGUGCAAUAUACUUGAAAAAAAAAAACGCUGCGUCUAGUCGAGUGGUACAAAGAAACCCAUGUGACCAUCUCCGAGCGAGCGACAGGUGUUGAGGGGGCCCAGCGGCGCGCGCAGAUAGAAAAGCAGGUGUUGCGUCGCUCACGUCACGCGGCGGCGGUGGCGACGGUUGUGGAGACAGUCGACUGCGAAGCGAGAGAGAGGUGGUGAUGUAAGACGCUAGCCAGGGGUGUAGCGGAUUGCGCAGUAGGCCUCAUAAGUACGCUAUGGCCGAGAAUGCUUGCCAAGUGAGAAACUAGGUGCGAGAUGCGAAACGUCGGGAGCGGGGCGUUCGACCACAUAUAAGGCAUCACGGGACGGACAAAUUAUGCUGGCAUACUCAUCCAGGAGCGCUUACGUAUUAAUACGUAAAAAAUGUUAUUAUGGGCUUCAGCGGUUCUACCCAGGAUCUUAAGGCAGAUAUGUAGAGUGGCGUUAGGAGGAACCAGUCUCCUGGAUUCACCAGACGUGCACGCUCGACAUCGUCACCAAAGUACAGCCUGCCGAAUGCUUGUAAAGGACGAUAAUGAUCUUUCUGGUGGAAGGUUCGCUGUUAUGAGAUUAUGAGCACAGGAUUACUCUGAAAUGGGAGCAGCUGAGCCUGGCUUUCACGACUAUCAACAAACCAAGAAAAAGAAUGCCUGGCUGCUGCCUCAACAACGGGUGGAUUAAUAUUAAAGUCCAGGGUUUACAAUAAGAGCAUUUACAUAAGAGUAGCCAGUCCUGACUGUGUCCUUGCCGUGUAAUGGCGCGUGCCAGCCAACUUGCGUCGGCAUGUACACGCUCUGUCAUGAGGGCUCGCUUCAAAAUUACAAAUACUGUACAACAUAUGUAUGCUUAUUCGACAUUUCUUGCCAAAUACCUGAGUGCGCACAAAUAUUAGAGAUGCAGAGAAUAACUAGGCAAAUAAACCUGAAGGUGAGCCAUUUAGCUUACUAUAUUACAGCGAAAAGGAAGCUGAAUCCGUAAAUCUGCCGUUGCGCAAUAAGACGUAAAAAAAAGAUUCAUAGUGGGUUAAGGUAAAUCAGUUAUACAGUGACCCUAUUUUAUGAAUGCCGAUACUAAGGUCAGCCUAUU
This is a long non-coding RNA of Dermacentor andersoni, 1440 nucleotides long. RefSeq lists it as uncharacterized. The record is from RefSeq and is a predicted model, not a curated record. NCBI's taxonomy places the organism in Eukaryota, Metazoa, Arthropoda, Arachnida, Ixodida, Ixodidae.